Molecule: ribosomal RNA, 433 nt
Filed under: uncultured bacterium
Lineage: Bacteria
Description: partial 16S ribosomal RNA
Rfam family: Bacterial small subunit ribosomal RNA
Source: RNAcentral
AACGAACGCUGGCGGCAUGCCUAACACAUGCAAGUCGAACGAGACCUUCGGGUCUAGUGGCGCACGGGUGCGUAACGCGGGGGAACCUGCCCUUAGGUUCGGAAUAACUCCCCGAAAGGGGUGCUAAUACCGGAUAAUGUCUUCGGACCAAAGAUUUAUCGCCUUUGGAUGGGCCCGCGUUGGAUUAGCUAGUUGGUAGGGUAAAAGCCUACCAAGGCGACGAUCCAUAGCUGGUCUGAGAGGCUGAUCAGCCACACUGGGACUGAGACACGGCCCAGACUCCUGCGGGAGGCAGCAGUGGGGAAUAUUGGACUAUGGGCGAAAGCCUGAUCCAGCAAUGCCUCGUGAGUGAUGAAGGCCUUAGGGUUGUAAAGCUCUUUUACCCGGGAUGAUAAUGACAGUACCGGGAGAAUAAGCUCCGGCUAACUCCGUG